This 68-nucleotide transfer RNA is filed under the name Ctenocephalides orientis. RNAcentral's name for it is "tRNA-Phe". The record is from RNAcentral. Lineage: Eukaryota; Metazoa; Arthropoda; Insecta; Siphonaptera; Pulicidae.
AUUUAAAUAGCUUAUAAUAAUAGAGUAUAACAUUGAAGCUGUUAUGGAGAAUUUUUAUUCUUUAAAUA